This 401-nucleotide ribosomal RNA is filed under the name uncultured bacterium. RNAcentral's name for it is "bacterial SSU rRNA". It matches the Rfam family "Bacterial small subunit ribosomal RNA", at positions 358 to 773 of the family's 1533-position model. The record is from RNAcentral.
GGAAUAUUGCACAAUGGGGGAAACCCUGAUGCAGCAACGCCGCGUGAAGGAAGACGGUUUUCGGAUUGUAAACUUCUUUUCCUAGUGAAGUAGAAAGUGAUUGUAGCUAAGGAAUAAGCAUCGGCUAACUACGUGCCAGCAGCCGCGGUAAUACGGAGGAUGCGAGCGUUAUCCGGAAUUACUGGGUGUAAAGGGAGCGCAGGCGGGACUGCAAGUUGGAUGUGCAAUGCCGCAGCUUAACUGCGGAGCUGCAUCCAAAACUGUAGUUCUUGAGUGGAGUAGAGGCAAGCGGAAUUCCGAGUGUAGCGGUGAAAUGCGUAGAUAUUCGGAGGAACACCAGUGGCGAAGGCGGCUUGCUGGGCACUAACUGACGCUGAGGCUCGAAAGUGUGGGGAGCAAAC